AGUGAACGCUGGCGGCGUGCUUAACACAUGCAAGUCGAACGAGAACGGAUUAUAGCUUGCUAUAAUUGUCAGCUAAGUGGCGCACGGGUGAGUAAUGUAUAGGUAAUAUGCCUCUUACUAAGGGAUAACAAAUGGAAACGUUUGCUAAUACCUUAUACUCCUUAUUAACAGAAGUUAAUAAGGGAAAGAUUUAUUGGUAAGAGAUUAGCCUGUAUUGUAUCAGUUAGUUGGUGGGGUAAUGGCUUACCAAGACUAUGACACAUAACUGGUUUGAGAGGAUGAUCAGUCACACUGGAGGUGAGACACGGUCCAGACUCCUACGGGAGGCAGCAGUGGGGAAUAUUGCACAAUGGACGAAAGUCUGAUGCAGCAACGCCGCGUGGAGGAUGACACAUUUCGGUGCGUAAACUCCUUUUAUAUGAGAAGAUAAUGACGGUAUUAUAUGAAUAAGCACCGGCUAACUCCGUGCCAGCCGCCGCAGUAA
RNAcentral lists this ribosomal RNA (484 nucleotides) under uncultured bacterium. RNAcentral describes it as "partial 16S ribosomal RNA". It matches the Rfam family "Bacterial small subunit ribosomal RNA", at positions 29 to 523 of the family's 1533-position model. The record is from RNAcentral.